RNAcentral lists this ribosomal RNA (253 nucleotides) under uncultured bacterium. RNAcentral's name for it is "partial 16S ribosomal RNA". It matches the Rfam family "Bacterial small subunit ribosomal RNA", at positions 524 to 776 of the family's 1533-position model. The record is from RNAcentral.
UACGUAGGGUCCGAGCGUUGUCCGGAAUUAUUGGGCGUAAAGGGCUCGUAGGCGGUCUGUUGCGUCGGGAGUGAAAUCUUACAGCUUAACUGUGAACUUGCUUUCGAUACGGGCAGACUUGAGGCAUUCAGGGGAGAACGGAAUUCCUGGUGUAGCGGUGAAAUGCGUAGAUAUCAGGAGGAACACCUGUGGUGUAGACAGCUUACUGGACCAUUUCUGACGCUGAGACACGAAAGCGUGGGUAGCAAACAGG